AAGGGCCCUUUAUAAAGCAUCUCAGAUAAGAAGCUGUGCUGAGCUGCAGGCCUCAGAGACCUGAGCUGCAGUCGAGGUAGCUGAGCUCCAGGGUUGCUCCCCAGAGAGGCUUGUGGAGGCUCUGUCCUGCUCUUCCUCCCUCCUGCUCCUGGGGCAGCCACAGUGCUGCUCCCUGGAAUGGAAGUUGCCUGGCUCCUGCUCUCCCUAUCUGGCCUUCUGUUAGCCCUGCCUGGCCCUGAGUCCACAGCGAUGGAGCCUGGCCCAGCCUUGGGGCUGAUGGGUGGGCCUGGAAGCUUAGUGCCUGGCUGAGGCCCUGUUGCCAGGCCCUGCCUUGGUUCUGCUUGUUGCUUUAUUGCUCUUACCUGCCCACUCCUGCGUGUGCUCUUUCUGGCCCUGCCCACACUUGCAGCUCACACGAAGGGCCUCAGGGGCCUGCUAUCCCUGUCCUAUCCCGCAAUUUGCUUCCCUGCGUCCCCAGGCCCAGCCCUUCUGCCUUGUCCCCAGCAACUCCUCAGGCUUCUACCUGGCCUUGAUCUCGGGAUUCAAGGUGACCAGCUUGCUACUUGAGACCACCUACGGUAAGACCCCUUCAGCACCCUCUGGCUCAAGGCUGUCCCUGGAGGGGCUCACACCUGCCUCACCCCAGCCACAAGGGCCAUGACGUGCUACAAUCUCCAAGCCCACUCUGUGCCCAGGUCACUUCCUCUAUCUCACCUGUGGGGAGGGUCUCCACCUGGUCCUAGUUCAGGCCUCCUCUGUCCCCUACCCUGAGACUCCUCAUGCUCCCAGCCUUUAAUCCCCUGAGAUCUGAGGAGGAGGAGAAGGGAGGGGAAAAUGCCUGCUCACCUGCACAUUGUCACAGGAACAACCGUCCUCACAGGGACUGGCAUUUGUAAGCCAUUGCCAUACACGCUUGGUAUGUUAGAAAUCCAGAGGGCGGAAUGCCUCCCUUCUCUCCACUACAGAUAAAGGUAGCCAGGCAGGUCCGAGUGAAGGAACAACAUACCACGGUGUCUUCUUUAACAAAUCCCUGGCAACUAAGCUUCCUCACCACAAACAAAUGAACAAGUGCCAUUCAGCAGCCACUCCAGGCUGGUGUUAGGUCAGUGCCUGGCCAAAGGCUCACGAUGUUUAUGGAAAGCAGGUUGCAAUGGCUCGGCGGGAGAGUAUAAUUGAUGGACAAAUUAAGCACUCAAAGGCCAUCCAUUUGCCUCCAACCUCGAGCCUCUUAGCCAGGGAUACAGAGAGAAGAAGAGGAGGAGGAGGUUUGGUUUCCCAGGCAGCAGGCUGAGUCUGCAGGAUGGUUAUUGAAGAACAAUGGAGGCAGAUGCUGGAGCGGCUGUAGGAGAGCCUGGCUAGAGGGCAGCCCUCAGAGCUGUCCGGAGUGGGCUGAGGUGGCCAGCCCUGCUCUCCAGCACAGGCCUUUGGCUGUGGCCCCUCACGGGAGGGUGUCGCCGUGGGCAGGGCUUUCUGCAGCUGAGGGGUCCUGGAGCGAGCUGCCAGCAGCAGGUAACGCAUCCACCAUGAGAGUCCGGUGUCCACCACGUGGUCGUGGUGCUCAGGGCUGGCCUCACUGACCCUCCAGGGUGGCCAGGACCUGAGCCAUGGCCUCCACAUCCUCACUCUCAGGUCCUAACCAGUGCAUUCAAGUUCCCUCUGUCCGUUCAGAGAACUCUUACUCAUACUGUAAGACCCAGGUCAAAUGUCACCUUUGCUGAGCUGCCCGUCUCUGACAGCCACCUCUGCAGCACCGGAGCUCCAUUCGCCUCUCAAGGCUCCACAGCGCCUCCUUCCUACCCAUCCUGGAAUUUACAUUCAUCCUAUGGAAAUAAUGUCUUGCAAGCCUGAUCCCCACCCUACACUGACCAGGAGUCCCUUGGGGUCAGACACUGUCUUUUCUUUCUCCUUUCAUCCUUGGUUCCCGGUGUCAUGCCUGGAACCUGGAAGCGGCUCCUGAUUUUGCUGAAUGAAUGUAGGAGGGAGGCAAAGGGAAGGAGUGGUGGGGGAUCCUCCUCCAGCCAAGCAGACCCCCAGGUGUCAGGCCCCAGGCAGAGCCCCCUUCUCCCAGCCUGGCACCCUCACUGCUUCUCGCUCCUGUGGGCAGGAAAGGCCCCAUCCUCAGGGGCCACAGUGGCAGAGGCCCCUGGGGAAGCGAUGACAGACAGGGACAGCCACCCCUGCCAACAUCUCUCCUUGACCCUUGUCCUCCUUGGAGAACCUCCCCUGGAUUCUCAGUGGCCAGAGCUCUGUCAGCUUGACGGGUGGAGCGAGGGUUACCAGGAGCCCUUCCUUCUUGUUUUAAACUCCCUCCUCUUCCCCGACCAGGAGAGUCUGAGAGCGGAGGAGGGAGGGGGCUCACCCCUGGGGUGAGGAUGUUGAGCUCUCCCUCCCUGGGGCUGCCACCCGGCCCUUUAAAGGUUAAGUGUGUUUAUGCAGCAUCUUCAGGAGGCUGCCGGGUCUGACAAAACGGAGAGAAGAGUGAUUAAUGGCUGGUGUCCUUGCUGCCACCACCACAGGGAGGGAGGCUUCAACGGCUGCCCAGGAACCCCUCGUGUGACUCCAGGCUUCAGCCUUUCAGCAGACUUCGGGACAAACACUUCUGGACCAAGAGGAGGCUGCGAUUCUGGAAUGGGGCCUGGAGGGAGGCUGGGGAGCUGCUCUCUUGGGAAAACGAGAGUUUGCUCCAGGCCAGAGCGAAUCCUGUGGGGCUGCAGGCAGAAGAGAACAGAAGUUUGUGAACCACUGAGACUUUUAGAAAUUCAUGAUUUUUACAUCAUGCCCUGUAAUACAGUCCAAUGUGUCUUAGUAGAACAAUUAUGUUUUAGGUUGUGCAACAAUCAAAUUAUUUAAGUUAACACCGGCCAGGUGCAGUGGCUCAUGUCUAAAAUCCCAGCAGUUUGGGAGGCCAGGGCAGGAGAAACACUUGAGCCCAGGAGUUGGAGACCAGUCUGGGCAACAUAAG
Molecule: RNA transcript, 2962 nt
Organism: Piliocolobus tephrosceles (Ugandan red Colobus)
Lineage: Eukaryota; Metazoa; Chordata; Mammalia; Primates; Cercopithecidae
Exons: 2
Source: RefSeq, a predicted model, not a curated record